UUAUUUUUAUGAAUUAAAUAUUAACUAAAAAGAAAUUAAGCAUAUCAACUGUGUGUAUGUGUGCGUAUGGAUGCAGAGUAUUUGGUGGUGUGUGUUGAAAAUUUGUAAAUGAAGUAAGUAAUUGGGAUAGUGAAUCGAAGUGAUGACAAAUGAAUAAAGCCAUGCAUGUGGGUGAUGAAAGAUGGAGUGUUGUUUGUAUAAGCUGCUGUGUAUCUCACUAUCUAAGUGGAAUGUCGACGGGGUGGAACAUGGACAUGCAGAGUCAGUAGGCACAC
This 275-nucleotide long non-coding RNA is filed under the name Carica papaya (papaya). RNAcentral describes it as "long non-coding RNA (CPAP_LNC010544)". Lineage: Eukaryota; Viridiplantae; Streptophyta; Magnoliopsida; Brassicales; Caricaceae. The record is from RNAcentral.